GAUGAACGCUGGCGGUCUGCUUAACACAUGCAAAGUCGAACGAACUCUUCGGAGUGAGUGGCGGACGGGUGAGUAACGCGUGAGAACUCUGCCUGUGGGUCGGGGACAAACCACCUUGGAAAACGGUGGCUAAUACCGGGAAUGAGCCGAAAGGUAAAAGAUUUAUUGCCCACAGAUGAGCUCGCGUCUGAUUAGCUAGUUGGUAAGGUAAAAGCGUACCAAGGCGACGAUCAGUAGCUGGUCUGAGAGGAUGAGCAGCCACACU
This 265-nucleotide ribosomal RNA is filed under the name uncultured bacterium. RNAcentral describes it as "partial 16S ribosomal RNA". It matches the Rfam family "Bacterial small subunit ribosomal RNA", at positions 28 to 314 of the family's 1533-position model. The record is from RNAcentral.